This 194-nucleotide ribosomal RNA is filed under the name uncultured Pseudomonas sp. RNAcentral's name for it is "partial 16S ribosomal RNA". It matches the Rfam family "Bacterial small subunit ribosomal RNA", at positions 338 to 524 of the family's 1533-position model. Lineage: Bacteria; Pseudomonadati; Pseudomonadota; Gammaproteobacteria; Pseudomonadales; Pseudomonadaceae. The record is from RNAcentral.
CCUACGGGAGGCAGCAGUGGGGAAUAUUGGACAAUGGGGGAAACCCUGAUCCAGCCAUGCCGCGUGUGUGAAGAAGGUCUUAGGAUUGUAAAGCACUUUAAGUUGGGAGGAAGGGCAGUUAACUAAUAUUUGACUGUUUUGACGUUACCGACAGAAUAAGCACCGGCUAACUUCGUGCCAGCAGCCGCGGUAAU